Long non-coding RNA from Oncorhynchus keta (chum salmon), 2850 nucleotides. RefSeq lists it as uncharacterized. The transcript has 3 exons. Lineage: Eukaryota; Metazoa; Chordata; Actinopteri; Salmoniformes; Salmonidae. The record is from RefSeq and is a predicted model, not a curated record.
CCUGUGCAGAGUUUAGUGCCAUCCCAGCACUAACUAACAGACUGGCUACGGCUGAUCAACUAAUCAUCAAACCUUGACUAUAGCUGUUAACGGGUGUGUUAGUGCUGGGUUGGAACUAAUCCCUGCACCCCAUGUGGGUCCCAUGGACCAGGAUUAAGAACAGUGAUCGAAACCAUUAUAUAUAUAUAUAUAAUGUUACAUAGGCUUGUCUCCCAAAUGGCACUUAUUCCCUAUAUAGUGCACAACUUUCAACAUAGGGCUCUGGUCAACAGUAGUGCACUACGUAGGGGGUAUAGGUCAACACUAGUGCACUCCGGAAGGGAUAGGUCAACAGUAGUGCACUACAUAGGGCUUUGUCAACACAUGUGCACUACGUAGGGGAUAGGUCAAGAGUAGUGCACUACGUAGGGGAUAGGUCAAGAGUAGUGCACUACGUAGGGGAUAGGUCAACAGUAGUGCACUACGUAGGGGACUGGGUGCUAUGUAAGGGGCAGACAGAGUGAGAUCAGAGUAGAACUUAAAGACCUAAACUGAGAAAGUGACCUACUAUAUUGUUAAAACAAUUAGAAAAUAACAUGACAACUAUGGGAAAAGAACAUUCCUGUUAAAUGGCAGCAUGAAUGAAUGUAAGGCUGCGUAACUAAUGAAAACAUGAAUGAAUGUAAGGCUGUGUAACUAAUGGAAACAUGAAUUAAAGUAAGGCUGUGUAACUAAUGAAAACAUGAAUGAAUGUAAGGCUGCGUAACUAAUGGAAACAUGAAUGAAUGUAAGGCUGUGUAACUAAUGGAAACAUGAAUGAAAGUAAGGCUGUGUAACUAAUGGAAACAUGAAUGAAUGUAAGGCUGUGUAACUAACGAAAACAUGAAUGAAAGUAAGGCUGUGUAACUAAUGGAAACAUGAAUGAAAGUAAGGCUGUGUAACUAAUGAAAACAUGAAUGAAAGUAAGGCUGUGUAACUAAUGAAAACAUUAAUGAAUGUAAGGCUGUGUAACUAAUGGAAACAUGAAUUAAAGUAAGGCUGUGUAACUAAUGGAAACAUGAAUGAAUGUAAGGCUGUGUAACUAAUGAAAACAUGAAUGAAAGUAAGGCUGUGUAACUAAUGAAAACAUGAAUGAAAGUAAGGCUGUGUAACUAAUGAAAACAUGAAUGAAAGUAAGGCUGUGUAACUAAUGAAAACAUGAAUGAAAGUAAGGCUGUGUAACUAAUGAAAACAUGAAUGAAAGUAAGGCUGUGUAACUAAUGAAAACAUGAAUGAAUGUAAGGCUGUGUAACUAAUGAAAACAUGAAUGAAAGUAAGGCUGUGUAACUAAUGAAAACAUGAAUGAAAGUAAGGCUGUGUAACUAAUGGAAACAUGAAUGAAUGUAAGGCUGUGUAACUAAUGAAAACAUGAAUGAAAGUAAGGCUGUGUAACUAAUGAAAACAUGAAUGAAUGUAAGGCUGUGUAACUAAUGAAAACAUGAAUGAAAGUAAGGCUGUGUGUGUGAAAUAAUGAGAUGAAGAAGUCGGUUCAUUCCUUCGUCUGUGCAUUCUGUUCUCUGAAACAAAUUAUCGUCACGAAAGACAUUCGUAAAACAAUCCGCACAAACGUCGUCCAUCGCAGAUGAGCAACAUUUGAUUUGAACAUGACACCAUAAUGACUAUAAAUAAAAGAGAACUUGAUAAUGCAUUUAGGCUAUAAAUAGAAGAAGAACAUCUUCAACAGGUACUAUAGUAGUAUUCAGAUUAAUUACAUGAAAUCAACAUGUACAACAGGUACUAUAGUAGUAUUCAGAUGAUUUACAUGAAAUCGACAUGUACAAUGGGUACUAUAGUAGUAUUCAUGUGAUUUACAUGAAAUCAACAUGUACAAUGGGUACUAUAGUAGUAUUCAGAUGAUUUACAUGAAAUCGACAUGUACAAUGGGUACUAUAGUAGUAUUCAGAUCAUUUACAUGAAAACGACAUGUACAAUGGGUACUAUAGUGGUAUUCAGAUGAUUUACAUGAAAUCGACAUGUACAACAGGUACUAUAGUAGUAUUCAGAUGAUUUACAUGAAAUCAACAUGUACAAUGGGUACUAUAGUAGUAUUCAGAUCAUUUACAAGAAAACAUAAAUACAUAUAUACAUACAUUAUUCCAUAAACAUAAAUAAAUAGCAUUAUAAACACCCCAAAAUUAUUAGUUUUAAAUUAUGUUUUAUUGUUACAUACACCAUAGUAGUAUGAUAGGUGUUGUUUUACAGGGUCAGCCCAUAGUAGUAUGAUAGAUGUUGUUUUACAGGGUCAGCCCAUAGUAGUAUGAUAGAUGUUGUUUUACAGGGUCAGCCCAUAGUAGUAUGAUAGGUGUUGUUUUACAGGGUCAGCCCAUAGUAGUAUGAUAGAUGUUGUUUUACAGGGUCAGCCCAUAGUAGUAUGAUAGAUGUUGUUUUACAGGGUCAGUCAUAGUAGUAUGAUAGAUGUUAUUUUACAGGGUCAGUCAUAGUAGUAUGAUAGGUGUUGUUUUACAGGGUCAGUCAUAGUAGUAUGAUAGGUGUUGUUUUACAGGGUCAGCCAUAGUAGUAUGAUAGGUGUUGUUUUACAGGGUCAGCCAUAGUAGUAUGAUAGGUGUUGUUUUACAGGGUCAGCCAUAGUAGUAUGAUAGGUGUUGUUUUACAGGGUCUUCCCAUAGUAGUAUGAUAGAUGUUGUUUUACAGGGUCAGCCAUAGUAGUAUGAUAGGUGUUGUUUUACAGGGUCAGUCAUAGUAGUAUGAUAGGUGUUGUUUUACAGGGUCAGUCAUAGUAGUAUGAUAGGUGUUGUUUUACAGGGUCAGCCCAUAGUAGUAUGAUAGGUGUUGUUCUACAGGGUCAGCCCAUAGUAGUACUGCGCCCCAGGA